GUGUGCUUGUGUGUGUGCUGCUUAAGUCUUGAGAGUCUGGACUGUCUAGCAGGGUGCACAGAUCUCCUCCCCUGGGGAUUUAAUGCAACAGACUCACGGCCAGCAGCCGUCAUUGAGAGCCCCUGAUGGUGGUCCGCUUCAUGAGGUGUGGACCAAUGGGAGGGCAGCACUAAGGAUGCAACAGUGUUCCAGGAAAAAAUACCCCAUUGUUUGAGAGACGCUGAAGGAGUGUGACCUCGCACGGACUGGACUGGUUCACCUAACGGCCCGCCAAGAGAGACAGAGAGAGAGAGAGAGAGUCACUAUAAGCGAUGAGUGGAGGUCUCAACGUGAAGUCGGCCUCCCGGG
This is a long non-coding RNA of Gadus chalcogrammus (walleye pollock), 348 nucleotides long. RefSeq lists it as uncharacterized. NCBI's taxonomy places the organism in Eukaryota, Metazoa, Chordata, Actinopteri, Gadiformes, Gadidae. The record is from RefSeq and is a predicted model, not a curated record. The transcript has 3 exons.